Molecule: ribosomal RNA, 462 nt
Filed under: uncultured bacterium
Lineage: Bacteria
Description: partial 16S ribosomal RNA
Rfam family: Bacterial small subunit ribosomal RNA
Source: RNAcentral
GACGAACGCUGGCGGCGUGCUUAACACAUGCAAGUCGAGCGACGCUCUUCCUUCGGGGAGAUGACGGAGCGGCGAACGGGUGAGUAACACGUGGGCAACCUGCCCCUAGCUCUGGGACAACACCGGGAAACCGGUGCUAAUACCGGAUACGACAUCGAGCGGCAUCUCUCGAUGUGGAAAGUUUUUUCGGCUAGGGAUGGGCCCGCGGCCUAUCAGCUUGUUGGUGGGGUAAUGGCCCAACAAGGCGACGACGGGUAGCCGGCCUGAGCGGGCGACCGGCCACACUGGGACUGAGACACGGCCCAGACUCCUACGGGAGGCAGCAGUGGGGAAUAUUGCGCAAUGGGCGAAAGCCUGACGCAGCGACGCCGCGUGAGGGAUGACGGCCUUCGGGUUGUAAACCUCUUUCAGCAGGGACGAAUUCAGACGGUACCUGCAGAAGAAGCACCGGCCAACUACGUG